GACGAACGCUGGCGGCGUGCUUAACACAUGCAAGUCGAACGGAAAGGCCCUGCUUGCGGGGUACUCGAGUGUGGAACGGGUGAGUAACACGCGGGUGUUCUGCCCUCCACUUCGGGAUAAGCCUUUGAGACUGUGGCUAUUACCCCAGAUGAGCCCUCUUUAUUGUGGGGGUUGGAUAGUUUGUUUGGUGUGGGAUGAGCGCGCGCGCUAUCUGCUUGGUGGUGGGGUAGUGGCCUACCAAGGCGGCGGCGGGUAGCUGGCCUGGGAGGGUGGGCGGCCACCAUGGGACUGGGAGAGGGCCCAGAAUCCUACGGGAGGGAGGAGGAGGGAAAAUUGCACAAUGGGCGGAAGCCUGAUGCAGGGAAGCCGCGGGGGGGAUGGCGGCCUUCGGGUUGUAAAAUCCUUUCGCCAGGGAAGAAGCUUUUUGUGACGGUACCUAGAUAAGAAGCACCGGCUAACUACGUG
This 465-nucleotide ribosomal RNA is filed under the name uncultured bacterium. RNAcentral's name for it is "partial 16S ribosomal RNA". It matches the Rfam family "Bacterial small subunit ribosomal RNA", at positions 28 to 507 of the family's 1533-position model. The record is from RNAcentral.